RNAcentral lists this ribosomal RNA (497 nucleotides) under uncultured bacterium. RNAcentral's name for it is "bacterial SSU rRNA". It matches the Rfam family "Bacterial small subunit ribosomal RNA", at positions 29 to 526 of the family's 1533-position model. The record is from RNAcentral.
AAUGAACGUUGGCGGCAUGGAUUAGGCAUGCAAGUCGAGCGAGAAUGGUUUGGUAGCUUGCUAUUGAACCAGGACAGCGGCGAAAGGGAGAGUAACGCGUAGUUACCUACCCCAGGGUCCGGAAUAGCCACGGGAAACUGUGGGUAAUGCCGGAUAAUAUCCCCGGAUCAAAGGUGUGAUUCCGCCCUGGGAGGGGACUGCGUCCUACUAGCUAGUUGGGGGGGUAAUGGCCCACCAAGGCAACGAUGGGUAGCGGGUGUGAGAGCAUGACCCGUCUCACUGGGACUGAGACACUGCCCAGACACCUACGGGUGGCUGCAGUCGAGAAUCUUCGGCAAUGAGCGCAAGCUUGACCGAGCGAUGCCGCGUGCGGGAUGAAGGCCCUCGGGUUGUAAACCGCUGUCGUAGAGGAGGAAAUCAAUCGGGGUUCUCCCCGGUAGUUGACCUAUUCUAGGAGGAAGUACGGGCUAAGUACGUGCCAGCAGCCGCAGUAAGAC